RNAcentral lists this non-coding RNA (30 nucleotides) under Rattus norvegicus (Norway rat). The record is from RNAcentral. Lineage: Eukaryota; Metazoa; Chordata; Mammalia; Rodentia; Muridae.
UGCCAGAUCAAAUCAUUGAUUUGUCAGGGU